AGAGUUUGAUCAUGGCUCAGGACGAACGCUGGCGGCGUGCCUAAUACAUGCAAGUUGAGCGCUGAAGGUUGGUACUUGUACCGACUGGAUGAGCAGCGAACGGGUGAGUAACGCGUGGGGAAUCUGCCUUUGAGCGGGGGACAACAUUUGGAAACGAAUGCUAAUACCGCAUAAAAACUUUAAACACAAGUUUUAAGUUUGAAAGAUGCAAUUGCAUCACUCAAAGAUGAUCCCGCGUUGUAUUAGCUAGUUGGUGAGGUAAAGGCUCACCAAGGCGAUGAUACAUAGCCGACCUGAGAGGGUGAUCGGCCACAUUGGGACUGAGACACGGCCCAAACUCCUACGGGAGGCAGCA
This 355-nucleotide ribosomal RNA is filed under the name uncultured Lactococcus sp. RNAcentral's name for it is "bacterial SSU rRNA". It matches the Rfam family "Bacterial small subunit ribosomal RNA", at positions 8 to 353 of the family's 1533-position model. Lineage: Bacteria; Bacillati; Bacillota; Bacilli; Lactobacillales; Streptococcaceae. The record is from RNAcentral.